GCCUGGCUGGCUUAAAUUGGUAGAGCAUGCAACUCUUGAUCUGAGGGUCAUGAGUUCAAUUCCCAUGUUGGGCU
RNAcentral lists this transfer RNA (74 nucleotides) under Canis lupus familiaris (dog). It matches the Rfam family "tRNA". From Rfam's summary of the family: Transfer RNA (tRNA) molecules are approximately 80 nucleotides in length. The record is from Rfam by way of RNAcentral. Lineage: Eukaryota; Metazoa; Chordata; Mammalia; Carnivora; Canidae. RNAcentral also lists the same sequence under 1 other name.